AGUGAACGCUGGCGGUAGGCCUAACACAUGCAAGUCGAACGGCAGCACAGAAGAAAAUUGCUCCUUGGGUGGCGAGUGGCGGACGGGUGAGGAAUACAUCGGAAUCUACCUUUUCGUGGGGGAUAACGUAGGGAAACUUACGCUAAUACCGCAUACGACCUUAGGGUGAAAGCGGAGGACCUUCGGGCUUCGCGCGGAUAGAUGAGCCGAUGUCGGAUUAGCUUGUUGGCGGGGUAACGGCCCACCAAGGCGACGAUCCGUAGCUGGUCUGAGAGGAUGAUCAGCCACACUGGAACUGAGACACGGUCCAGACUCCUACGGGAGGCAGCAGUGGGGAAUAUUGGACAAUGGGCGCAAGCCUGAUCCAGCCNNNNNNCGUGAGUGAAGAAGGCCCUCGGGUNG
This 402-nucleotide ribosomal RNA is filed under the name uncultured Lysobacteraceae bacterium. Its description in RNAcentral is "bacterial SSU rRNA". It matches the Rfam family "Bacterial small subunit ribosomal RNA", at positions 29 to 425 of the family's 1533-position model. The record is from RNAcentral. Lineage: Bacteria; Pseudomonadati; Pseudomonadota; Gammaproteobacteria; Lysobacterales; Lysobacteraceae.